RNAcentral lists this long non-coding RNA (1744 nucleotides) under Anas platyrhynchos platyrhynchos (common mallard). RNAcentral's name for it is "lncRNA (ENSAPLG00000024009.1)". The record is from RNAcentral. Lineage: Eukaryota; Metazoa; Chordata; Aves; Anseriformes; Anatidae.
AGAGCCCCCGCAGGAGCAAGGCCCAGACCAAGGAGCAAGAAGUGGCAGAGGGGGGCUGUUACAGACUGGCCCCAGCCCCGUGAUCCAUCACCCUGCACCAGUUUGGGAGGAGAGGAUGUAGAGCAGCCAGAUUUGAAGAAUAUGAGCCUGGGAAAGGGGGGAGGAAAUGGGCUGUUUUAAGGUUUUUCUUUUUAUUUUCCAUUACUAGACCAGUAAUUAAAUAUUUAUUUUAAUUGGCCAGAAUUUAAGCUAAUUUUCCCCCAAGUUAAGUCUGUUUUGCUUGCAAAGGUAACUGGCAAGUGACCUCUCUUUCCUGAUAUCCACUCAUGAGCUUUCUCAUUCCCAUUUUUCGUAUUUUCACCGCAGCUCCACUAUGUGGGGAGGGAGGGAGGGAGCAUCUGGGUGGGAGUUUGGCUGCUAGCCAAGGCCACCACACGCUCCUUUACAGGAGCCUUUAAGAAACCAAGGCUUUCCCUUGAAGAGAAAGAAUAAUGUCAAGAAAGUAAUUGAAAUGAUAAGGAGUAUUAGACAGUUGUAGAACAUCCAGAAAUCAUCAUUACUCUUUGGACUUGUCAAACGGUGAUAAAUCUGGAAGGGUUUUCCCAUACCUUUAAAUGAAUCUGACAUGAUCAUCUCUGUCUCAUAUGAAUUUAUACUAAAUCUGUUUGUGGUUAGAUUAAAUAGGAACUAGCUUUAAGAGAGAAGUCAAUAUCAUGAAAUUGAUUCGCAGAUUUUCUUCACAGCUUUGAGCUAUAAAAUCCUGAUUUAAUAUAAAUGAAGACACUUUUUGCUAUGUUCUUACAAAUAUGUAGAAAAUAAUUUAAAGAGUAACUCUUCAUGCAGCUUUUUUUUUUUCUUUUUUCAAAACUCUUCUGACUCCAAAUUUUUCCAUUUUUCCUUAGAAACAGUAAACCAAAUGGGGGAAGGGGGAGGAGAUGUUGUAUUGCCUGUGUCCUCUCAAGAACAAAAAGGAAUAUGUAGUUUGUGUAGAAGCUUUUGCUUUCUCCAGCAAAAAUUCCAGCACUGUGAGGGCAAUCCAGCUUCCUGGACUAGAAGCAUUGAAAUCCAGCAUACUUCACUGGAAGAUGGAGUCUGUCCUAACUGCCUAGUGUUCAUAUUUAAUAAGGUGGUCUCUGCCGCAUGUUGCUAUCAAUUAAAUUAACCAUCAUUGAAGACAGUAUGGUGAGCAUCCUGAACAUCACACUGGAAGUUCAGAAUCCAUGCACGCUGGAAGGAACUUCAGAAAGGCCAGGAAGAAGCUAGCAUGGCUGAACAGUAGUGUAGAGGAGACAAGCAAGAGCAAGGAGCAACUAUGAUCUUUUACAAAUGAGGAAAAUAGGAAGGACAAUCAAUGCUAGCAGAUUAAACGCAAAAGCAUCCUAAGACUGUCCAAACAGUGUAUGAGUAUUAAUUUUUAAAAGACAUCAAAACUAGCAAUAACUCCUUUUUGAAUGCUUCAGGAGAUGGAAGUCAGACAAAGAAUCAGCAGACAUAGUAAGGGAUCAGGAUACAGAAAAGACAUAGAAAAAAAUGACUCAACAGUAGAAAAAUUACAUAUUACCAUUUAUUAUUUCUGUAUUGUGUUCAACUUGCCAUAAGGAAUAUCAAAAAAAUUGUACCAUGAACCCAACUGUUCAUGUAAAAUGUAAAUGUAAAAUUGCUCUAAAAUUUAAGAUAGGAACACUGCAAAUAAGCUAGUAGGAAAAAAAAAUGCAGAAUAAAAAAUCACAAGAUUAAAAGAACA